Molecule: non-coding RNA, 97 nt
Organism: Mycena rosella
Lineage: Eukaryota; Fungi; Basidiomycota; Agaricomycetes; Agaricales; Mycenaceae
Source: the annotation of a GenBank genome assembly
GGCUCGGUAGUGGACGGUCCAUGCCUGCAACUUGAAUGCGCCAUUUCUCUGUGCAAACAUCGUGCAGGUAUCGCCUGUUCGACUCGGGCCCGAGCCA